Molecule: non-coding RNA, 1739 nt
Organism: Microcebus murinus (gray mouse lemur)
Lineage: Eukaryota; Metazoa; Chordata; Mammalia; Primates; Cheirogaleidae
Source: RefSeq, a predicted model, not a curated record
CGCCAAAGGGCAAAGGGCAACUCCUGCUGCUGGCGGCAGGUGCUUGGCACGCGAUGGGCCACUGUGUGCAGACCGUUGGGAACUGUGGCGGCGCCGUCGGCCAGAGCCCUUGCCACCUGGGCACGGGCUCUGCAGGCUCCAGGGCACCUGGGCCAGGGCCUGGCGCGGGCUGCGUGUGGCUGUGUCGCCGUCCCCCCACACCAGUCACAGGCGGUGGCAGAGCCUGCUGGAGGCCAAGCCCAGAGACAAACCCCAUCCUGCCAGGCUCCUCCGGGGACCUCUCCACUCCUCUGCGCCGCCACAAGGAUGGCCAGCCCAGCUGCUAGGGUUUCUGAGAAGGGACACGGUGCCCACACCGGACUGGAUGCUGCACCCUAUGACAUCCCUUCCCGGCAGGCAGGUUCCGCUCACUUCCUUUUACAAAUUGGGUAAAACGAUCGUUCAGCCCUAGAGCAUUCCCCAGGUCACGCAGGUGGGAGUGGCCCGGCCAGGCCUUGAACCCAGCCUGCGUGGUUCUAGAGCGGUGCCUCCCGGGCACGUACACUUCAUAUAUUACCUUUUUUUUUUUUCCCUGUAGUUUUUAGGGAACUUAUGACCAUGGCAGAGCUGUACCAACCACAUGCACACCUAGGAGGAGGUCUUGUCUUCAACUCAACUCGAGUUGACCACGGCCCACACUGGGCUCCAGUCUCCUCAGAAGAUGUAGAGCAGGUCCGCCAACUGUCAACACGGCCUCAGCCCACAUUUCUCUUCUCAUGAAGCCUUGCACCCCAGAUUUUCCUUUUGGUCUGGCUUGAAGGAUCAAACUAUGUAAGGAUUAUUGUCUACAUCAAUUUUGGUCUAUCCUGAAAGAAAUUCACCUGUGGCUUAUUCCAUCUGGCUAAGAAGCCAGUUUCUGUGGCCUUCCUGGAAUUUGUCUAGAAAGCAAAUGUAUUUAUUUACAGGUUAAUAGUUGAGCGCUGUAUUGGAUGCAAACAGGGUCAACACAAUUGGAACAUCAUGAUCGUGCCAGCAGGGUCCACUCUUCACCACACAUUAUGGUCACCUAAACAUAACUCUAGAUAUUCUUGUGCCCAAGAGAGGAGACAUAAUUUUGGGUGUCAGGAUAAAGGAAACAUGAAUCAUUGUCCUAGAAGCUGGAAGCUUCAGGAUGACAAGAAACAUUAGAAAAUCCUGCAGGAAUGAUUCUAAAAUCUACAUAUAAUCUUGUUGUCUUUUUGCUUAUGAUCCUUUCAUGACUUGUCACACUUCCAGGAAAAUGGAGCAAUGCCCCAAUGCCUCAUCAUGGCAGAUGCAAGAGGCUGGAUGCCAAUCCUAGCCUCCCCGAGUGACUUGGGAAUGUGUGAAGAUGACCGGCCUAAGCUUACGUUAUAGAAAAAGACACACUUAAACAUUUAUAAAUACUAAUACUAAAAUCAGAAAGUGUGUUUCCUGGGAGGAGGGGCAGAGAUGGAGGGCUGGAAGCAGACUGCACACGCUGCUUUCACGGAGAAGAUGGAAAGUGUUCAGGGGAUAUUCACUUUCAGAUUGAGGAUCUGAAAGAGAACGUUGGGAAUCAAUAGAAAGGUGACUGGAGGCUCCCAAAGGGAAUGGGAGGGAAGGGAUGCAGCCCGCUCUGUGGGGUCAGAGGCACACAGGGAUGGUAUCUGCGUGUGGAGAAGGGACAGAGGAGGCACCCUCGGCUUCACCCUCUCCUGUGCACUCUGCAGUCUGAGCGGUGUGGGGGACCCUGUGCGUAG